GAUGAACGCUGGCGGCGUGCCUAAUACAUGCAAGUCGAGCGAACGGACGAGAAGCUUGCUUCUAUGUUAGCGGCGGACGGGUGAGUAACACGUGGAUAACCUACCUAUAAGACUGGGAUAACUUCGGGAAACCGGAGCUAAUACCGGAUAAUAUUUUGAACCGCAUGGUUCAAAAGUGAAAGACGGUCUUGCUGUCACUUAUAGAUGGAUCCGCGCUGCAUUAGCUAGUUGGUAAGGUAACGGCUUACCAAGGCAACGAUGCAUAGCCGACCUGAGAGGGUGAUCGGCCACACUGGAACUGAGACACGGUCCAGACUCCUACGGGAGGCAGCAGUAGGGAAUCUUCCGCAAUGGGCGAAAGCCUGACGGAGCAACGCCGCGUGAGUGAUGAAGGUCUUCGGAUCGUAAAACUCUGUUAUUAGGGAAGAACAUAUGUGUAAGUAACUGUGCACAUCUUGACGGUACCUAAUCAGAAAGCCACGGCUAACUACGUG
RNAcentral lists this ribosomal RNA (494 nucleotides) under uncultured bacterium. Its description in RNAcentral is "partial 16S ribosomal RNA". It matches the Rfam family "Bacterial small subunit ribosomal RNA", at positions 28 to 507 of the family's 1533-position model. The record is from RNAcentral.